Mercenaria mercenaria is the source of this 218-nucleotide long non-coding RNA. RefSeq lists it as uncharacterized. Lineage: Eukaryota; Metazoa; Mollusca; Bivalvia; Venerida; Veneridae. The transcript has 3 exons. The record is from RefSeq and is a predicted model, not a curated record.
CUGAUAUCGAUAUUUGUUAUCUGAAUGAAUGUAGAUGGAUUGGUGAUACAUGGAGACGUAUAAAGAUUCUUCUCAUGUUAAGAAUAUGUGCUGAUGAAGGACAACAGGUUUUCUUACAUCAGUUGAUACAUGCCAUGCUGGAGGAAGGCUUAUAUAUCGUGGAUAAUAGUCAUUUUACAUUGUUUAUGUACCUCUGGAUGUGUCCCCAAAUUUUAAAG